CGGAGAUGCCCCUCCAGACCCGGUGGAUGUAACCCUAGACAAGUCAUAUCUUCCCUGGUCUGAGGGCAUCUCCGCUUUCAUGUCCGGACCCUGGACCGGCUAUUGGCCGGUGGAUUCGG
RNAcentral lists this small RNA (119 nucleotides) under Saccharothrix sp. ST-888. Its description in RNAcentral is "Actinobacteria sRNA Ms_IGR-7". It matches the Rfam family "Actinobacteria sRNA Ms_IGR-7". The record is from Rfam by way of RNAcentral. Lineage: Bacteria; Bacillati; Actinomycetota; Actinomycetes; Pseudonocardiales; Pseudonocardiaceae.